RNAcentral lists this long non-coding RNA (601 nucleotides) under Struthio camelus australis. RNAcentral describes it as "lncRNA (ENSSCUG00000007323.1)". The record is from RNAcentral. Lineage: Eukaryota; Metazoa; Chordata; Aves; Struthioniformes; Struthionidae.
AUAACGAUAACAGCUGUUUGAUUCCACUUGCCAGCUAUGAGAUCGAAGAACUCUGGAAUCACUUGGGUACUACAGGCAUAAAUGAGGGCAAAAUUUAAACUUUUAUUUUCUGUAAUGUGAUAAUUACAUAUUGAGGGGAAAAUGGUGCAGACUUUGCAAUAAAUUAUUGCUCAACAUAAUCUCCUAUUUCUAAUGAUUUAGUUUAUAUUAUUUUCUGUAUUUGCACUUAUUCUCUAUUGGUUAUUUCCUAGGUGUAUCUCAAGAAGGACAGAAAAUUAAGCAAAAGAAUAGCGUACACUCUGGAUUUUCUUCCUCUAUACAGACUACAGUGACUGAAGUGUUGAAUCCACUCGUAGAACCAGCUUACUGUAAAUACUCAAUUUCAAUAGACUGCCAAAAAGAACUGCAAAAUACUUCAAAGAUUUGUUCUAGGCUGAUUCCUGCAUCUCCUCAUUUCUGAUUUAUAGGCAAUAAUUUCAAACUCUAACUUCAAGCUUUCACUGAGAACAUAGAUUCUACAGCAAGGAAAUAAUAGUAAGUAUUUAUGUACAUGUUAUAACUUUUUUUUUUUGAGAUGCUCAAUGUUUGUGACAUUUACUCU